Molecule: transfer RNA, 76 nt
Filed under: Chitinivibrionales bacterium
Lineage: Bacteria; Pseudomonadati; Fibrobacterota; Chitinivibrionia; Chitinivibrionales
Description: tRNA-Thr
Rfam family: tRNA
About the family: Transfer RNA (tRNA) molecules are approximately 80 nucleotides in length.
Source: RNAcentral
GCCGAUGUAGCUCAGUUGAUAGAGCGUUCGACUUGUAAUCGAAUGGUCGGGGGUUUGAAUCCCUCCAUCGGCUCCA